GUGCCCGCUGAGGCGAGCGGAGCUGUGUGAGGCAGGUAGCGCGGGUUCCUGCCCGGCUCGGCUCCUCGCGGCCCCCGCCCCCCGGUUGGGCCCGAUCCCGCAGCGGCCGCCGGAGCUGGGAGGCCGCCUGCGCCGCGGGCCAGGGCCCCGACUUCCCCAGGCCCGGGCCCCGACUUCCCCAGGCCCGGGCCCCUUCCGCCCCGGGCCCGGUCCCGCCGGUCCCCCCGCCCAGCUCUCGGGGCAGCCGCGCUGGGGUGAGCUGAGGGCCCGGACUCAGGCUUAUGCAACGUCCCUGCCCCCGCUCGCCUCGCGCUGCCCCCCGCUGCCGGCCGGGGGGGCGGGCGGACCUGCUCGGGCCUUGUGUUGCAGCCGGCCCCGGCUCGGCCCCCCGGCUUGCCCGACUGGCCCGCUGAGCCUGCCGCAGGGGCCCGGGGCUGCUGGGGCAGCGGUGGGGGUCCUGCCUGGGGGGCCGCACUCCCCAGCGCCUCGCCAUGGCCGGCGCCAUCGCCUCUCGGAUGAGCUUCAGCUCCCUGAAGAGGAAACAGCCCAAAACCUUCACCGUGCGGAUUGUGACCAUGGACGCCGAGAUGGAGUUCAACUGCGAGGUGAAGUGGAAAGGGAAGGAUUUGUUCGACUUGGUAUGCAGGACACUCGGACUUAGAGAAACCUGGUUCUUUGGACUUCAGUACACGAUCAAGGAUACAGUGGCCUGGCUCAAAAUGGACAAGAAGGUCCUGGAUCAUGACGUUCCAACAGAGGAGCCGGUCACUUUUCACUUCCUUGCCAAAUUUUACCCUGAGAAUGCGGAGGAGGAGCUGGUUCAGGAGAUCACACAGCACUUGUUCUUUCUGCAGGUAAAGAAGCAGAUUUUAGAUGAGAAGAUCUACUGUCCUCCUGAGGCAUCUGUGCUGCUGGCCUCCUAUGCUGUCCAAGCCAAGUAUGGUGAUUACGAUCCCACUGUUCAUCAGCGUGGCUUCUUAGCACAAGAGGAGUUGCUUCCAAAACGGGUAAUUAACCUGUACCAGAUGACUCCAGAAAUGUGGGAGGAAAGAAUAACAGCCUGGUAUGCAGAACAUCGAGGCAGGGCAAGAGAUGAAGCUGAAAUGGAAUAUCUGAAGAUCGCUCAGGACUUGGAGAUGUAUGGAGUAAACUACUUCGCGAUUAGGAAUAAGAAGGGCACUGAGCUGUUGCUUGGGGUUGAUGCACUGGGGCUUCACAUCUACGACCCAGAAAACAGGCUGACCCCCAAAAUCUCUUUUCCAUGGAACGAGAUUCGGAAUAUCUCUUACAGUGAUAAGGAGUUUACAAUUAAGCCAUUGGACAAAAAGAUCGAUGUCUUUAAAUUCAAUUCAUCAAAGCUGCGUGUGAAUAAGCUGAUUCUUCAGCUGUGUAUUGGAAACCACGAUCUAUUCAUGAGGAGGAGGAAGGCAGACUCGUUGGAGGUCCAGCAGAUGAAAGCACAAGCCAGGGAGGAGAAGGCCAGAAAGCAGAUGGAACGUCAGCGGCUGGCUCGAGAGAAGCAGAUGAGGGAAGAGGCAGAGCGAACAAGGGAUGAGUUGGAGAGGAGGUUGUUGCAGUUAAAGGAGGAGGCGACAAUGGCCAAUGAGGCUCUGAUGAGAUCUGAAGAGACAGCAGACUUGCUGGCUGAAAAAGCCCAGAUCACAGAAGAGGAAGCCAAGCUGCUGGCUCAGAAAGCAGCUGAGGCGGAGCAGGAGAUGCAGCGGAUCAAAGCCACGGCAAUCCGGACAGAGGAAGAGAAACGGUUGAUGGAACAGAAGGUCCUGGAGGCAGAGAUGUUGGCGUUGAAGAUGGCAGAAGAAUCGGAGAGAAGGGCAAAGGAGGCUGAUCAGCUAAAGCAGGAUCUUCAGGAGGCUCGAGAGUCCGAGCGGAGAGCAAAGCAGAAGCUCUUGGAGAUCACCAGCAAGUCAUCCUACAUGCAGCCCAUGAACUCAGGUAUGACAGCGCUGCCUGCUGACCUGCCAAGUUUCAGCCUCAUCAGUGAGAGCCUCUCCUUUGACUUCAAAGAUACAGACAUGAAGAGACUUUCCAUGGAAAUAGAGAAAGAGAAAGUGGAGUACAUGGAGAAGAGCAAGCACCUGCAGGAGCAACUGAACGAAUUGAAGACCGAGAUUGAGGCGCUGAAACUGAAGGAGAGGGAGACAGCGCUGGAUAUACUGCACAACGAGAAUGCCGACCGAGGCAACAGCAAGCACAACACUAUUAAAAAGCCUCAAGCCCAAGGCAGAAGACCUAUCUGCAUUUGAGACUUCAAAUGUCUAGCCAUAACCGAGCAUAUGUCUGUGAAGGUUGUCCACUGCUGUAAACAUUUCUUCAUGGGAAGUCCAGGACAGAUUGGCCUAGAGCAGCUCACCUUGCAGAGCACCAAGUCCCGCGUGGCCUUCUUCGAGGAGCUGUAGGAGGUGACCCAACCAUCGUGCACUGCUGCUUCCAGCGAGCCAGCCACUUGCCAGCCAGAACCUUCUUCAGCAAGGCCAUGUAGGCACAUCCCAAUGGCUGGGGAUGGAGCCCCUCUACCUGCUGGCUGGGUGCAUUCUGGGAUAUGAUGCUGCUCCUGUGCAAUGGACUUGGUCCGUCAGCAGUCCAUGGAUUUCAGCGUGAUGUUCUCUAGUUUAGUCUAUCCUAAUCCCCCUUGUAGGUUUUUAACUAGCUACCCUCUUCUGCCAUUUAUAAUGCAGAGCUGUGGUAUCCCUUGCAGUCUUUUUAAGCAGCAUUUGUAUUUGGUUGUGACUGUCGUGUGACCUCCUGGGAGAUGGUGAGCAGGCGUGUGUGCCUUGGAAGGGGUGCCUUUCCCUUCCGGCCCUGCUUUAGGGAAUGCCACAAAUAAUGUGCGCUCCUGCAGGCUGAGCUUUGGUGCCUUUGGCAGUUCGGGAGCCAGGGGGUGGGAUGUGUGCUACUCUCGUCAGACCCCCAAACCUUGCAGUACUUCUGCCUGACUUUCAGGGGGGCUGAGUACCGGUGGACUCAUUGGUGACACACCCAUUGAUGUAAUGGAAUGCUGUAAAUCGGGGGGUAUAGCCUCACCUAGGAGAGCGUGGUUAGGUCUGGUCUUCCCGCCUGUUAGAGGAUCUAACAGACAUAGAAGGGGUUCAGAGAUACGCCGUGGGAAUAGGUUUGGAAUGACUUCUGUACGAGGAGAGAUUGAAAAGACUCUGGCUGUUUACCUUAGAGAGUUGCCGCAUAGAGGGGACAUUACAAAGGUGUGCAAACUAAUGUAUGGGAUGGAGAAGGUAGAUCUACCCUCUCUGGUGUGACCUAAGAGCAAGGGUAUAGUCAAGGAAACUGAAAAGUGGGCUAUUCGGCACUGAUCAAAGGAAAUACUUUCCCACACAGUGUGCAAUGAGCCUCUGGAACUCCUUGCUACAAGAUUCUAUUGACACCAAGAAAUUUGCAGGAUUAGAUCUUUGUCUGGAUACAAAAACAGCCAGAAAUCUAGCAGUGAACAUUUAAAAAGUGAAGGGAUAUGAACCUUCAUGCUUGUACCUAGAAGCUGACCUCUAAAUAAUGUAAAUCAGGAGGGAAUUUCCUCUGUGCCUUGGUCAUCCCAUAGCUACCUACUAUAGCCUUCUUUUCACUUUCCUCUGAAGUAUCUGGCACUGGCCACUGCUGGAGAUGGGCUAGAUGGACCAUGGGUCUGAUCCACUAUGUCAGUUCCUGUUCAUGGGAGCUGCAUGUGCUCAGCCUCUCUGUACAUCACCUCCCUUGCUCCGUUUUGACUCCUCUGGUAGAGUGGUAACCAGCACCCCAUGAGCUGGGGCUCCACUGAGAGCAGUUCCAGUAUCUCUUUGCUGCUGAGUCCUGUUCAGCAAUGUUCUUUCUAAUUUUUGACAGGCCAUGUGCCCCAAAAAUUUCUUCUGUGCACAUUUUUGUGCGUGCGGUGUUUUGCCGUGUGCGUGGGGUUUAGGAUCUGUGUGCACGCGCACAGCUUAGAGGGAGCAGUGCUGUUGUGUGAGAGUGGCAGGAGCAGCCUUGCUCUGGCUGGGGCAGAGUCUGUGGUUUCCAGUCCCUGAAGGAGCAUGCUGUGAACACUCAUGCGUCCUGUGCCUGCCGUGAGACAGAGCCAAGCAACAGGGCUGAGGUACUAAAGCCGCCAAGGUGACGUUGGCUGCUAAAUGAAGUAGCUCUCUCCUAGUGAGGGACUCUAGACAGCUAUGUCGAAGAAGUCAGUGGCAUCCUCAGCUCUUGAAAGGGCCUAGGUUUGCUGCCUUGGGAGGAGAGGGGUAGCUCCUGGCACAUGCUUUGUCACCCCCCCGCCUCCUUUGCCAGUGCUAGCCCCUGUCCUGCCCUGUUUUGUAUUCUCUGGGGGAUGAGUGGGGAGAGGUGCUAGAAAUCACUUACAAUUUAUCUUCUAGGUGCUGGAAGUAGGGGGGCUGCCGCACCCCCUGGCUUGAAGUAGUUUCCACUAUAUCCAGGGUUUAUAGUUUGGUUCAAUGCCUCCCAGCACCCCCACUAUACAAAUUUUUCCAGCACCACUGUUGGCAGCCCCUCAUAUAAUGCACUUAUGAGCUAUUGGGCCCUGCCUUUGUGUAAUGGCCUCUGGUCUACCCCCCCCGCCCCCCCCCGCGCGCACCACCACCACACACAUUCUACCUACCCAUAGGCAGCUAUUAUCCCAUAAGCUCACCCCUUUGCUGUUCUGUGUUUUGUCCUGCCCCAGCAUAAAGCUUUCAUGUCCUGGUGGUUAUAUUAAUUACAUCUAAAGAAAUACACUAUUCAACCCUUAAAUGCUGCUGUUUCCCAGACUGCCAGCCAGUUCGAACGGUGCAGCUUCUAAAGGGUUAAUCCAGGUGCUCUCCUGGAAUGCACAGUGUCAGCUAAGGCCCAGGUUUAAAGCAGGAUCUUUCCUGUGACUUGGGGACACUUGGAGUGUAGGGAAGCAUGAUUCCUCUCUGUGCAAACAGCAUCGACUCCCCAUGUCCUCUUGUCGAUGCUGCAAGGACAAGUGUUAGGCAGGUCUCCUGCCGGACAAGUGCUUCAGUGUCAUACCAAUGGCUGGUCUUUAAUCCCACCUACCCAUACAGCCUGAAGUCUAGAGAGGGAGCUUCUCACACAUAUACCACCCUCAAGUGUUAAUGCCAUGAUGCUAAAUGUUUGUGUAUCUUUUGUAUAAAUGUUCUUUGCCACCCUAGAGAGCAGGAAGAACACCCAAUGGUCCCAGCAGAAACCCCAUUGCUACCUGGAGGGCUGUCUCACAGGUUGGAGCAGGCUGCAAAGUUGCAAUAACAUUGGGUGACGGAUUAGCUUUUCUCCUGAGCUGGCUCAGUUCAGGUGGCUCGGAUUAAGUCCUGCUCGGAGUCUCCAUCCUAAAUCCUACUUUUUAGGGGGUUUACAGAUCAGCUGUUAACACUCCCUUGAGGCUAUAACCUCAGCAGAUCUGGGCUUGGCUUAGGAGCAGAGAGAUGCUAAAUUUAAAGGGGAAAAACUGUUAAGCCAUUUUCAAGUUAUAAGAGCAGAAAAGUGACCUGAGGUGAGGGGUUGAUUUCCAGGCUUGGCUGUGGGGCACAAUACAGCUUUUGCAGGAAACUGCAGGCAUGUAUUGCAUUGAUCUGUAGCACAUCCCUCUGGCCAAUUCAAGAAGAGCUCUUGCCUAGCUCUGAGGGUGCCCUAAGUGGUCCUCCACUCUAGAGGGGGCAUUGUGAGAUAAGACAGUAAAGGAACAAAAGGGAAGAGGGGGAACAAAAUCUUUUAAUUAAAAGGUGCUUUUCCAUCGAUCAGUCUCUCUCCCUGCUCGUUUCUCUCCCUAGUGACUCAGUGUUAGUUAUGUUUACUGCCCCUGUGAAAGGUUGGGCUAGUGCCCUUGGGGUGAUCGAAGGGCUACACAGAACCAGCAGCCAUUUCAGCUUGAAAUAGUGACUCCUAGCCCCAGUGAGUCAAUGGGAAUUCAGUGGAGCCAGGAUUGCACCCAGAGUUUGCAGCCAUUUCAUUGGUGCUAGUUAGAAACACACAUUUCAUGCUAGCGUUUUACAUAUACACGUAGGUCCAGAUCCUCAAAGGUAUUUCGGUUCCUAACUUCCAUUGAUUUCAGUGGAAGUUAGGAGCCUAAAUACCUUUGAGGAUCUGGGCCUUAGACCAUGGUCCUGCAGCUACGUAUACAUAUGGCCAACUUUGAGAUUAUGCCUAAUUCCGGUGAAGUCAAGCCUGAUUUUAAGCUGGAUCCAGAUUGCAGUUUAUCUUAUCGAUGCUUGAGGUUUACAGUAGAGCAGCUACAUGGCUGGCUGGGUAUAAAUUGCUGGAAUCGGGCCAAAUUCCCACUGGAGCUGAGGCCAAUGAGGAUUUCUUUCCCCACCCCUCCCCUUCUUAAAUCCAGCACUGGCCUCACACAAGAGCCAGGGGUCUCCCACGGAGAUUAACAGGCAGCCGGUUUAAAACAAAUAUAAGGAAGAACUUCUUCACAUAGCACACAGUCAGUCCGUGGAACUCAUCAGGAAAUGUUGUGAUGGCCAAAAUGGGGCCUGGGUUCAAUAAAGAAUUUGGUAAAUUCAUGGAGGAUUGGUCCAUCAAUGGCCAUUAGCCAAGAUGGUUAGGGAUUAAGCCCCAUACUGCGGGUGUCUGUAAGCCUCUGACUGCCAGAUGCUGAGACUGGCCCAUGGGAUGGGCUCACUCAGUACCUGUCCUAUACCAUUCAUUGCCUCUGAAGCCUCUGGUACAGGUCACUGUCAGAGACAGGACACUAGGCUAGAUGGACCAUUGGUCUGACCCCCUAUGGCCGUUCUUAUUUAACACUAGCAAUCGUGUCCUCGCUGCCCACUCUCAGCAAUGCUGAGCAAACACUAAUGGUCUGUCUUUAACCCACCCAAUUCACUUGCCUUUAUUUUACUUUUUUCAACAGCCUGGUUUAAUCACAGAGAGCUGAAUCUAGUCCUGUGGUGACUUCAGUCGAGUUAUGGACAGGGUGGAUUUGACCCAGAGUCAGCCCUUGGCUCGGCAUAGUACAGGUGUUCUCAAACUUUUGUACUGGUGACCCCUUUCACAUAGCAAGCCUCUGAGUGCGACCCCCCCUUAUAAAUUAAAAACACUUUUUUAUAUAUUUAACACCAUUAUAAAUGUUGGAUGCAAAGCGGGGUUUGGGGUGGAGGCUGACAGCUCGUGACCCUGCCAUGUAAUAACCUCACAACCCCCUGAGGGGUCCUGACCAUAGAACCCCUGGUAUAGUAUAUCCUGGCUUUUAUCAGAUCACACCCUUGAAUCCUUUUAUUUAAAAGGUCCCUGAUGUGCAUUGAGUCUCCUCCCAUUUGGAAGUGUAUGUGUCUGAAAUUCAGAUGGAUAAAGCAGUCUUUUCCUUGGGAUGGGGUCUGGGACAGAAAGGCCUUUUUUUUUCUAUUCCCGUGGAUUGUUAUAUUCUGAAGAUACCAUUGUUUUCUCAUGUGUUUUAAUAAAAAUUGAAAGCAGUUGGA
Chelonia mydas (Green sea turtle) is the source of this 7412-nucleotide RNA transcript. It is a transcript of the gene named neurofibromin 2, with no coding region annotated. The transcript has 18 exons. The record is from RefSeq and is a predicted model, not a curated record. NCBI's taxonomy places the organism in Eukaryota, Metazoa, Chordata, Testudines, Cheloniidae.